This is a non-coding RNA of Phalacrocorax carbo (great cormorant), 1073 nucleotides long. The record is from RefSeq and is a predicted model, not a curated record. Lineage: Eukaryota; Metazoa; Chordata; Aves; Suliformes; Phalacrocoracidae.
AGGACGUGCUCCUGUACACAGCAGUUGUGAGAGUACUCUUGCAAAAGGGGUGCUGGCUUUUUUGGAUGGUGGAUGAAGCAACAUUUUCAUUCAGGGAGAUCCUGCACUGCAUGGAGCUAAACUUUUAGAAAGAAAGCUCUGCAUUUUGAAUUGCUACAAAACUGAAAUGGGAUCAUGUUUCUACAGCAUCCUUAUGAAGUUAAAUUUCUUCUUCCCACUACUGUUACUAGAGUAAAAGUUCCAUACUGCCGAGUUUCCUGGUUUUGAACAAAAUACAGAAUCACAGAGUCACAUUGUGGUUGACGUUGGAAGGGACUUCUAGAGGCCUUCUGGUCCAAACUUUCUGCUCCAGCAGGGAGACCUGAAGCAUGCUGCCUGAGACCAUGUCCGGAUGGCUUUUGAAGACCUUCAAGGAUGGAGACUCCAUCACCAUUCUGGGCAACCUGUUCCCAUGCUGAGUAACCCUCACAGUAAAAAAGUGUUUCCUGAUGUUCAGAAGGAGCCUCACGUCUUUUGGUUUAUGCCUCUGGUCCUGUCACUGGGCUCCACUGGAAAGAGUCUGGCUCCAUCUUCUAAACACCCUCCCUUCAGAGAGCUCCACAGACAUGGAAUUUUAAAAUUCCGCCAGCUGUGUAACACUGUGUUCCUAUGAAGAGUUACAACCCAUGUGCAUGCCUACAGGACAUCUGAAGCUUUCUAUGUCCAGGACUGCAUUCAUAUAAGCCUCUUUACUGAACCCACAAGAGAAGAAAAGCUUGGAUGGAGCUGGAAAAUGAGGACAUCUUUUCUCCCGGCACCUUGCCUCCCAUCAGGAGAUUUGAUGGCAUAUGCCAAAUGCUAAGAAGACUGCAGAAAUUCUGUAAGGCUUAUAUAAGCAUCAGUAUUCCUGCAUGAAGAAUGGAAAUGCUCAGGGCAAAGAAGCUCAGUGUUGUGCUCAGCAUUGUACUUACACUUGUGGAGCCAAGGAAUAGAACAACUCCUGCACCUGACAGAAAGUCCUCCCAUGUUUCUGCCUGCUUCAAAUGGAUUAUGUUUCUGUCUUUUCAAGAAAAUCAUUGGUAGAAAAUGUAUUA